This 598-nucleotide unclassified non-coding RNA is filed under the name Hevea brasiliensis (rubber tree). The record is from RNAcentral. Lineage: Eukaryota; Viridiplantae; Streptophyta; Magnoliopsida; Malpighiales; Euphorbiaceae.
GGUUGAGAUUGGUAUUGGUAUUUCACAUUUGAUGGUUGAUUCACAUGGCAGUGAGCCUGAGCCCUAUAGCUAGUUGUUAACUGAGUGCAGGUUCAUUAAAUUGGAGCUCAUAAUAUGGUAACUUAAAGUUUGCAAUCGAGUAAUAAGCUGCAUGUCUGUGUAUCCCUGCUCAAUGUAUGUUAAAUCACUGCCUGGCAGUCUGUUCUGUGUUUUAGGAUGGUUUUAGCCAUAGGACGCAGUUUCAUGUUUAAAGUUCUCAAACAACUAUUUGCUCUUAAUUGACUGCUCUCUCUGAUAAUUUGAUGUGAUUCUAGUAGGCUGGCUGUACUAGUUUAAGAGAUUUGACUGUCUUCUCUGUUUAUAUUUGACGAGCUGGAAGUGCUUGUUACGUUUGAACAUAAGUUCAGAACUGAACACUUACCAAUUAUCAUGUGCUAGGUUAAAGUUUUCUGCUAUUGGAAUAUGCAAGGAGUAUCAUGAUUGUAGUUCAUAUGACAUUUACAUUUGAAAUUGUGGAGAUUGAUGGGAUGUGAACGCAUCACUGACCCUUGAUAUGGAUAACUGGAUAUUUACUGCCAUACAGAAUUGAGCUUUUAAA